GGCAUGGUGGCAUAGUGGUUAGCACUGUUGCCUCGCAAAAAAUAGGCUCCGGGUUCAAAUCCGGGUCCAACCA
RNAcentral lists this transfer RNA (73 nucleotides) under Anguilla anguilla (European eel). RNAcentral's name for it is "tRNA-OTHER". The record is from RNAcentral. Lineage: Eukaryota; Metazoa; Chordata; Actinopteri; Anguilliformes; Anguillidae.